GGAGUCUGGGCCGUGUCUCAGUCCCAAUGUGGCUGAUCAUCCUCUCAGACCAGCUAGAGAUCGUCGCCUUGGUGAGCCUUUGCCUCCCCAACAAGCUAAUCCCUCCUGGGCACAUCUACAAGCGCAUGGUUUCCCAUCCUUUUCCCCUCAGGGCUUAUGCGGUAUUAGCACCCGUUUCCAGGUGUUGUCCCCCUCUUGUAGGCAGUUUCCCAGGUAUUACUCACCCGUCCGCCACUCGUCAGCCAGAAAGACAAGCCUUCCUGCUGCUACCGUUCGACUUGCAUGUAUUAAGCCUGCCGCCAGCGUUCAAU
RNAcentral lists this ribosomal RNA (311 nucleotides) under uncultured Succinivibrionaceae bacterium. Its description in RNAcentral is "partial 16S ribosomal RNA". Lineage: Bacteria; Pseudomonadati; Pseudomonadota; Gammaproteobacteria; Aeromonadales; Succinivibrionaceae. The record is from RNAcentral.